GAUGAACGCUGGCGGCGUGCCUAAUACAUGCAAGUCGAGCGAACAGACGAGGAGCUUGCUCCUCUGACGUUAGCGGCGGACGGGUGAGUAACACGUGGAUAACCUACCUAUAAGACUGGGAUAACCUCGGGAAACCGGAGCUAAUACCGGAUAAUAUAUUGAACCGCAUGGUUCAAUAGUGAAAGACGGUUUUGCUGUCACUUAUAGAUGGAUCCGCGCCGCAUUAGCUAGUUGGUACGGUAACGGCUUACCAAGGCAACGAUGCGUAUCCGACCUGAGAGGGGGAUCGGCCACACUGGAGCUGAGCCACGGUCCAGACUCCUACGGGAGGCAGCAGUAGGCAAUCUUCCGCAAUGGGCGAAAGCCUGGCGGAGCAGCGCCGCGUGAGUGAUGAAGGUCUUCGGAUCGUAAAACUCUGUUAUUAGGGAAGAACAAAUGUGUAAGUAGCUAUGCACGUCUUGACGGUACCUAAUCAGAAAGCCACGGCUAACUACGUG
This 497-nucleotide ribosomal RNA is filed under the name uncultured bacterium. Its description in RNAcentral is "partial 16S ribosomal RNA". It matches the Rfam family "Bacterial small subunit ribosomal RNA", at positions 28 to 507 of the family's 1533-position model. The record is from RNAcentral.